UCCAGCAGUUUGACGCUGCAUAUGGAAUUCUGCUGUGACGGUUUUUCUGCUGCCAACAUGAGAAAGCAGCUUAAUGUCAACUGGAUGUCCACUGGUGAGCUAGAAACAAGUACAGGACAAAA
Molecule: long non-coding RNA, 122 nt
Organism: Thalassophryne amazonica
Lineage: Eukaryota; Metazoa; Chordata; Actinopteri; Batrachoidiformes; Batrachoididae
Exons: 5
Source: RefSeq, a predicted model, not a curated record